AGAGUUUGAUCCUGGCUCAGGACGAACGCUGGCGGCGCGCCUAACACAUGCAAGUCGAACGAGCGAGAGAGAGCUUGCUUUCUCGAGCGAGUGGCGAACGGGUGAGUAACGCGUGAGGAACCUGCCUCAAAGAGGGGGACAACAGUUGGAAACGACUGCUAAUACCGCAUAAGCCCACGACCCGGCAUCGGGUAGAGGGAAAAGGAGCAAUCCGCUUUGAGAUGGCCUCGCGUCCGAUUAGCUAGUUGGUGAGGUAACGGCCCACCAAGGCGACGAUCGGUAGCCGGACUGAGAGGUUGAACGGCCACAUUGGGACUGAGACACGGCCCAGACUCCUACGGGAGGCAGCAGUGGGGAAUAUUGCACAAUGGGGGAAACCCUGAUGCAGCGACGCCGCGUGGAGGAAGAAGGUCUUCGGAUUGUAAACUCCUGUUGUUGAGGAAGAUAAUGACGGUACUCAACAAGGAAGUGACGGCUAACUACGUGCCAGCAGCCGCGGUAAAACGUAGGUCACAAGCGUUGUCCGGAAUUACUGGGUGUAAAGGGAGCGCAGGCGGGAAGACAAGUUGGAAGUGAAAUCCAUGGGCUCAACCCAUGAACUGCUUUCAAAACUGUUUUUCUUGAGUAGUGCAGAGGUAGGCGGAAUUCCGGUGUAGCGGUGGAAUGCGUAGAUAUCGGGAGGAACACCAGUGGCGAAGGCGGCCUACUGGGCCCUGACGCUGAGGCUCGAAAGUGUGGGUAGCAAACAGGAAUUAGACCCGGUAGUCCCCACUGUAAACGAUGAUUACUAGGUGUUGGGGAUUGACCCUUCAGUGCCGCAGUUACCAAUAAGUAAUCCACCUGGGGAGUACGACCGCAAGGUUGAAACUCAAAGGAAUUGACGGGGGCCCGCACAAGCAGUGGAGUAUGUGGUUUAAUUCGACGCAACGCGAAGACCUUACCAAGUCUUGACAUCCUGCGACGCACAUAGAAAUAUGUGUUUCCUUCGGGACGCAGAGACAGGUGGUGCAUGGUUGUCGUCAGCUCGUGUCGUGAGAUGUUGGGUUAAGUCCCGCAACGAGCGCAACCCUUAUGGUCAGUUACUACGCAAGAGGACUCUGGCCAGACUGCCGUUGACAAAACGGAGGAAGGUGGGGAUGACGUCAAAUCAUCAUGCCCUUUAUGACUUGGGCUACACACGUACUACAAUGGCGUUAAACAAAGAGAAGCAAGACCGCGAGGUGGAGCAAAACUCAGAAACAACGUCCCAGUUCGGACUGCAGGCUGCAACUCGCCUGCACGAAGUCGGAAUUGCUAGUAAUCGCAGAUCAGCAUGCUGCGGUGAAUACGUUCCCGGGCCUUGCACACACCGCCCGUC
RNAcentral lists this ribosomal RNA (1357 nucleotides) under uncultured bacterium. RNAcentral describes it as "bacterial SSU rRNA". It matches the Rfam family "Bacterial small subunit ribosomal RNA". The record is from RNAcentral.